GAUGAACGCUGGCGGCGUGCUUAACACAUGCAAGUCGAACGGGAAUUAUUUUAUUGAAACCUCGGUCGAUUUAAUUUAAUUCUAGUGGCGGACGGGUGAGUAACGCGUGGGUAACCUGCCUUAUACAGGGGGAUAACAGUCAGAAAUGGCUGCUAAUACCGCAUAAGCGCACAGAGCUGCAUGGCUCAGUGUGAAAAACUCCGGUGGUAUAAGAUGGACCCGCGUUGGAUUAGCUGGUUGGUGGGGUAACGGCCCACCAAGGCGACGAUCCAUAGCCGGCCUGAGAGGGUGAACGGCCACAUUGGGACUGAGACACGGCCCAGACUCCUACGGGAGGCAGCAGUGGGGAAUAUUGCACAAUGGGGGAAACCCUGAUGCAGCGACGCCGCGUGAAGGAAGAAGUAUCUCGGUAUGUAAACUUCUAUCAGCAGGGAAGAUAGUGACGGUACCUGACGAAGAAGCCCCGGCUAACUACGUG
This 478-nucleotide ribosomal RNA is filed under the name uncultured bacterium. RNAcentral describes it as "partial 16S ribosomal RNA". It matches the Rfam family "Bacterial small subunit ribosomal RNA", at positions 28 to 507 of the family's 1533-position model. The record is from RNAcentral.